This 479-nucleotide ribosomal RNA is filed under the name uncultured bacterium. Its description in RNAcentral is "partial 16S ribosomal RNA". It matches the Rfam family "Bacterial small subunit ribosomal RNA", at positions 28 to 523 of the family's 1533-position model. The record is from RNAcentral.
GACGAACGCUGGCGGCGUGCUUAACACAUGCAAGUCGAACGGAAAGGCCCUGCUUUUGUGGGGUGCUCGAGUGGCGAACGGGUGAGUAACACGUGAGUAACCUGCCCUUGACUUUGGGAUAACUUCAGGAAACUGGGGCUAAUACCGGAUAGGAACUAGACAGGCAUCUGUACUAGUUGGAAAGUUUUUCGGUUUGGGAUGGGCCCGCGGCCUAUCAGCUUGUUGGUGAGGUAACGGCUCACCAAGGCUACGACGGGUAACCGGCCUGAGAGGGCGACCGGUCACACUGGGACUGAGACACGGCCCAAACUCCUACGGGAGGCAGCAGCGGGGAAUAUUGCGCAACGGGCGCAAGCCUGAUCCAGCCAUGCCGCGUGAGUGAUGAAGGCCUUAGGGUUGUAAAGCUCUUUCGUCCGGGACGAUAAUGACGGUACCGGAAGAAGAAGCCCCGGCUAACUUCGUGCCAGCCGCCGCCGUAA